AGAAGAUGCUAGGCCAGGGGUGUCGAACGUACAGCCCGCAGUGCCUGAUUCGGCCCGCGAAUAGGUUUUAUCCGGCCUGCGGGUGGAAAAAAAGAAAGUCCAGUGCACAUCAGAUGUCUUGCACCUGGCAUAGAUUACUUUCCCUUUUAUAGACCUGUAAGCAUCCGACGGUUGAGGGCUGCCCGUAGGAGGAGGCAAUAGAGUCUGCAGCUGCAGGAAGAACGACGCAAACUCUCCGCUCAUGUCUACGGGCUAUUCAACUACGUAAUGAAGAGGACCGCAGUUUCAAGAACCCAAGGGCUCAGAGGCCGGACAUUGAAAUGUGAAUGCUUCCGCAGGUUGUAUUUCUUUAAGACUGCGUUUACUUAAUUACAAAGUAAACACAUCUGCUUUCACA
Molecule: long non-coding RNA, 397 nt
Organism: Nerophis ophidion (straightnose pipefish)
Lineage: Eukaryota; Metazoa; Chordata; Actinopteri; Syngnathiformes; Syngnathidae
Exons: 4
Source: RefSeq, a predicted model, not a curated record